Mastomys coucha (southern multimammate mouse) is the source of this 333-nucleotide RNA transcript. Lineage: Eukaryota; Metazoa; Chordata; Mammalia; Rodentia; Muridae. The record is from RefSeq and is a predicted model, not a curated record.
UGGCCAUGGUGGCUAUCGUGACCAUGAACCCAUCCCAAUUCCUGCCACUAGAACUUGUGGCCAAGUGUAUAGGAUCAAGAAUUCACACUGGGAUGAAGACUGAUAAAGAAAAUAUUGCUACGCUUCUAGGAUUUGAUGACUUUAUCAAUAUGGUGUUGGAAGAUGUUACAGAAUUUGAAAUUACACCAGAAGGAAGAAGAAUUACAAAAUUAGAUCAAAUUCUACUAAAUGGAAAUAAUAUAACAAUGCUGGUUCCUGGAGGAGAAAGGCAUGAAGUAUGAAUGGAUUUCCUCAAUUUAUGCUAGAUUCUGGCUUUCUUUCAAAACCUUUAAU